This 239-nucleotide ribosomal RNA is filed under the name Klebsiella pneumoniae. RNAcentral describes it as "partial 16S ribosomal RNA". It matches the Rfam family "Bacterial small subunit ribosomal RNA", at positions 270 to 501 of the family's 1533-position model. The record is from RNAcentral. Lineage: Bacteria; Pseudomonadati; Pseudomonadota; Gammaproteobacteria; Enterobacterales; Enterobacteriaceae.
UAGGCGACGAUCCCUAGCUGGUCUGAGAGGAUGACCAGCAACACUGGAACUGAGACACGGUCCAGACUCCUACGGGAGGCAGCAGUGGGGACUCUUGCACAAUGGGCGCAAGCCUGAUGCAGCCAUGCCGCGUGUGUGAAGAAGGCCUUCGGGUUGUAAAGCCCUUUCAGCGGGGAGGAAGGCGGUGAGGUUAAUAACCUCAUCGAUUGACGUUACCCGCAGAAGAAGCACCGGCUAAC